UUUUGUUGAGCACCUACUAUGAGCACUAUUUAAGUCCUGGGUAGAAUAGGACCAUGGUUCUUAAAUUUUAUAUGCCCAGAGAGCCUGUUAGGAUGCAGAAUCCCUGCAGUGGGAAUUAAUAGGUCUGGGAAUGUGAAACUCUGCAAAGUCAUAUGUGAUUCUGAUGAAGGUGGUCAAUGACUGCAUUUUAAGAAACAUUGAUAUAAGGAGUUCAAAAAUAAAUGAUAGCUGAUUCUUGCUUUUGAGAUGAUAGCAUAGGAGGGGUAACAAAUAAUUAUGAGGUAGAAUGACGUGCAAUAAUAGAAUUACAGACAGCAGUUUUGGAAACUCAGUGGAAAACUAAAAAGUAAGGAAGGUUUUCCAGAGGAAGUGACACAUGAGGGAUGAGUAGGAUUUUAGUAUGAGGAACAAAGGAAGAAGAGUAUUUCAGCCCUACAAACAGCAUGAUCAAAGUCUGCAGUACCACAGCCUGUAUUCCUGACCUACAUGACCACCCAUUUUUUUCAAAGAAGAUACCAGGUGAGAGAAUAUGGCUAAAUUAACUAAAAUCUGUCCACAUUUCUGGGGAACAAAAUGACUCAAAAUGCAUACCAUAGUUGGUGGGUCAGUAGCUACAUUUUCAUGCAAAAAGGGCGUUAAAUGAUUUUAGUUCCAAUUUGUGGUUUUUCUCACACAGCACAAAGACUAAAAUAUAUAUAUAAUAGCUGCCAUUCUUUACUUAGUGCCAGUGAUGUGUUGCCAAGCAGUGAGCUGAGUCUGUACAUCUGUCGGUUCUAAUUCUCAUGACAAAUUUACAGGGUUUAGGAUUAUCUCCAUUUUAUAGCUGUGAAAAUUGAGGCUCACAAAGGUCAAGAAGGAGCAAAGCCUGUGCGAUUUCCCCACAUUAUAUUGCAAAGAACACAAACCAUUGCAUAGGGCUGGUCCACACACAAGGAUUUUUAUCAAGAACACUCUGAAUGGAGAACUAUCAACUUAAAAAAUCUUACUUAACAUUGCAUUUGUAUUCUUUUUAAAAAGUGUGUAUCUCUCAGAGCAGGGGUUUUUAAAUGUUUGUUCUUAUAUCUGCCAAAAGAAUGUUGAAAAACUAAGUACUCCUUUUCACAUUUUUAACUGGCAUCUAGA
This 1122-nucleotide long non-coding RNA is filed under the name Homo sapiens (human). RNAcentral describes it as "HSALNT0313159". The record is from RNAcentral. Lineage: Eukaryota; Metazoa; Chordata; Mammalia; Primates; Hominidae.